Molecule: long non-coding RNA, 301 nt
Filed under: Nicotiana benthamiana
Lineage: Eukaryota; Viridiplantae; Streptophyta; Magnoliopsida; Solanales; Solanaceae
Description: long non-coding RNA (NBEN_LNC006213)
Source: RNAcentral
CCUGGAAUGAACCAUUGUGACAUUAGUGAGGAGGAGACAACAAGAGCUCUCCAUGCCUUGUACCAAAUGCCUCUUCCUGAGAACAUAAAUAGCCUUCAAAAUAAUGCUGGUAGAGAUACGGCUGGAGUAAUUUCAGCUGAUAUCCAUGGGCUCUUAAAUAGCCUUCAAACUAAUGCUGGUCGAGAUACGGCUGGAGUAAUUUCAGCUGAUAUCCAUGGGCUCGGUUGCAGCAGUCAGAAUGUGGGUUUCGAUUAUGUGGCUAAUGGAGGAAAGAAGAAACACAAAUUAAGAGAGACACCAA